GGCCUCUCCCCGCUUGGCUGCUGGGCAUCCCGCCGCUCCUCAGCCACGGCUGGAGCCACGAUCAGCCGGGAGGAGCACCGUCAGGGCGGCCGCGAGUGGGCAGCCCCGCUUCCUGCCGGCGACACGU
Non-coding RNA from Octodon degus (degu), 127 nucleotides. NCBI's taxonomy places the organism in Eukaryota, Metazoa, Chordata, Mammalia, Rodentia, Octodontidae. The record is from Ensembl.